This 500-nucleotide ribosomal RNA is filed under the name uncultured bacterium. Its description in RNAcentral is "partial 16S ribosomal RNA". It matches the Rfam family "Bacterial small subunit ribosomal RNA", at positions 28 to 507 of the family's 1533-position model. The record is from RNAcentral.
GACGAACGCUGGCGGCGUGCCUAAUACAUGCAAGUCGAGCGGACUGAUUAAGAGCUUGCUCUUAUGACGUUAGCGGCGGACGGGUGAGUAACACGUGGGCAACCUGCCCUGUAGAUCGGGAUAACACCGAGAAAUCGGUGCUAAUACCGGGUAAUAUCUGAGAUCACAUGAUCUUAGGUUAAAAGAUGGCUCCGGCUAUCACUACAGGAUGGGCCCGCGGCGCAUUAGCUAGUUGGUAAGGUAAUGGCUUACCAAGGCGACGAUGCGUAGCCGACCUGAGAGGGUGGUCGGCCACACUGGGACUGAGACACGGCCCAGACUCCUACGGGAGGCAGCAGUAGGGAAUCUUCCGCAAAGGACGAAAGUCUGACGGAGCAACGCCGCGUGAGUGAUGAAGGGUUGCGGCUCGUAAAGCUCUGUUGUUAGGGAAGAAACAGUACCGAACGAGCUAGGUCGGUACCGUGACGGUACCUAACCAGAAAGCCACGGCUAACUACGUG